Molecule: unclassified non-coding RNA, 601 nt
Filed under: Hevea brasiliensis (rubber tree)
Lineage: Eukaryota; Viridiplantae; Streptophyta; Magnoliopsida; Malpighiales; Euphorbiaceae
Source: RNAcentral
UGGAAGAAAGAGGUCUGAGAUGGAUCAAGCCCUGUGUUGCCUGGUGGGACAAUGACAUCAAUGGGAGCAACCAAACCAACACGAGCAGGGGCUCCAACCUUGUAUUUGGCUACCUCUUCACUGACUUCCUUCAAAUCACCCUUGGUGAAGAUCAAACCAACGUUGCCAACAAGAAGGGGAAGAAGGUUGAGGUAAGCCUUGUUUCCAGUCUGCUCUGCGUGCAUCCUCACAGAUCGCUUCAUCAUAGUGUUUUUCCCCAUGAGCACAAUGGAGUCACCACGAAGACCCUUCCUAAUGUUCUGGAGCUGGUUGGAUCCGACAUUGUCAGCGGCCACAAUCAAAACCUGGCUGUACUCGUCGAGGAGCUGGCAGAGCUUGGAGUCGUAAGCGACCUUCUUCUCAGCCUUUGUGGGUUUCACAGCCAUUGAAAUGGGUUUCUGGAGAAAACUCUAAUAUACAACAAAAAAGAGGUUAUAGAAGAAAGAAAAAAAGCAAAACCGAGGGCCAAGACGAAGCUGGGUGCUCUGCCAAGGCGGACAGCGAAGCUAUGCCGUCUCUUUAACCUCUGUGUAAUGCUAAGAAGAUUCUUUUAGGGUUUUGG